RNAcentral lists this ribosomal RNA (508 nucleotides) under uncultured bacterium. Its description in RNAcentral is "bacterial SSU rRNA". It matches the Rfam family "Bacterial small subunit ribosomal RNA", at positions 29 to 518 of the family's 1533-position model. The record is from RNAcentral.
GUGAACGCUGGCGGCGUGCCUAACACAUGCAAGUCGAACGGAGAUUAUUCGCUGCAGAGAUUUCGGUCGAAGCUUGGAAUAAUCUUAGUGGCGGACGGGUGAGUAACGCGUGGGCAACCUGCCUCAUACUGGGGGAUAGCAGUUGGAAACGACUGAUAAUACCGCAUAAGCGCACGGUAUCGCAUGAUACAGUGUGAAAAAACUCCGGUGGUAUGAGAUGGGCCCGCGUCAGAUUAGCUAGUUGGUAAGGUAACGGCUUACCAAGGCGACGAUCUGUAGCCGGACUGAGAGGUCGGACGGCCACAUUGGGACUGAGACACGGCCCAAACUCCUACGGGAGGCAGCAGUGGGGGAUAUUGCACAAUGGAGGAAACUCUGAUGCAGCGACGCCGCGUGAAGUGAAGAAGUAUUUCGGUAUGUAAAGCUCUAUCAGCAGGGAAGAAAGGCCCGCAAGGGAGAUGACGGUACCUGACUAAGAAGCCCCGGCUAACUACGUGCCAGCAGCUGC